Molecule: ribosomal RNA, 305 nt
Filed under: uncultured bacterium
Lineage: Bacteria
Description: bacterial SSU rRNA
Rfam family: Bacterial small subunit ribosomal RNA
Source: RNAcentral
CUUCCCUACGGGAGGCAGCAGUGGGGAAUAUUGCACAAUGGGGGAAACCCUGAUGCAGCGACGCCGCGUGAGUGAAGAAGUAAUUCGUUAUGUAAAGCUCUAUCAGCAGGGAAGAAAAUGACGGUACCUGAGUAAGAAGCCCCGGCUAACUACGUGCCAGCAGCCGCGGUAAUACGUAGGGGGCAAGCGUUAUCCGGAUUUACUGGGUGUAAAGGGAGCGUAGACGGCAGAGCAAGUCUGAAGUGAAAGCCCGCGGCCCAACUGCGGGACUGCUUUGGAAACUGCCCGGCUAGAGUGCUGGAGCG